UUGAUCCUGCCGGACCCGACUGCUAUCAGAGUGAGACUAAGCCAUGCGAGUCAACGUAUGAAUAAUACGUGGCGAACGGCUCAGUAACACGUAGUCAACAUGCCCAAAGGACGUGGAUAACCUCGGGAAGCUGAGGAUAAACCGCGAUAGGUCAUAAGUACUGGAAUGUUUUAUGGCUCAAAUCUACAUGGCCUCUGGAUUGGACUGCGGCCGAUCAGGCUGUUGGUGAGGUAAUGGCCCACCAAACCUGUUACCGGUACGGGCUCUGAGAGGAGGAGCCCGGAGAUGGGCACUGAGACAAGGGCCCAGGCCCUAUGGGGCGCAGCAGGCGCGAAACCUCUGCAAUAGGCGAAAGCUUGACAGGGUUACUCUGAGUGAUUCCCGCUAAGGGAAUCUUUUGGCAUCUCUAAAAACGAUGCAGAAUAAGGGGUGGGCAAGUCUGGUGUCAGCCGCCGCGGUAAUACCAGCACCCCGAGUGGUCGGGACGAUUAUUGGGCCUAAAGCAUCCGUAGCCGGUCUUGCAAGUCUUCCGUUAAAUCCACCUGCUUAACAGAUGGGCUGCGGAAGAUACUACAAGACUAGGAGGCGGGAGAGGCAAGCGGUACUCAGUGGGUAGGGGUAAAAUCCUCUGAUCCAUUGAAGACCACCAGUGGCGAAGGCGGCUUGCCAGAACGCGCUCGACGGUGAGGGAUGAAAGCUGGGGGAGCAAACCGGAUUAGAUACC
RNAcentral lists this ribosomal RNA (724 nucleotides) under uncultured Nitrososphaerota archaeon. RNAcentral's name for it is "bacterial SSU rRNA". It matches the Rfam family "Archaeal small subunit ribosomal RNA", at positions 8 to 737 of the family's 1478-position model. The record is from RNAcentral. Lineage: Archaea; Thermoproteati; Nitrososphaerota.